Molecule: non-coding RNA, 282 nt
Organism: Alteromonas naphthalenivorans
Lineage: Bacteria; Pseudomonadati; Pseudomonadota; Gammaproteobacteria; Alteromonadales; Alteromonadaceae
Source: Rfam
UCGUCUAUUUGUUGUGGGCAUAUAAAAUGAAUGUGCGCGUCUAUACCACCGGCCGUAACUAUCUGCCCUUCGCCUGCAAUGAUUUCUGUGCCGGGUCCAAUUUCAAUAUCAAUAUUGUCUUGAACAUCUGGGUUACCAGCUUUACCAAUAAUAGCGAUACGGCCAUCUUUGAUACCAAUAUCGGCUUUAAUAAUUCCCCAAUGGUCGAGAAUAACCACGUUCGUGAUUACAAGGUCUGGCGUAUCAAAACAGCUUGCUUGGCUUUGCCCCAUACCGUCCCGA